This 1823-nucleotide long non-coding RNA is filed under the name Malus domestica (apple). Its description in RNAcentral is "long non-coding RNA (MDOM_LNC003830)". The record is from RNAcentral. Lineage: Eukaryota; Viridiplantae; Streptophyta; Magnoliopsida; Rosales; Rosaceae.
UAUAUUGAACUCUUAGCGGGUUAUGGGAGACUCACCAUUACCAAGCCCACCUCACGAUGAUACGAUAUUGGUUAGCAAAAAUAAUGAUGAGAGAAUAACGCAUUAUUCAUUUACAACUUUUGUAAUUUCCCAUCCGUUUGGCCUCUAGAGAAUGUUGCCUCACGAUGAUACGAUAUCGGCUCCAUUGCACUUAGUUAAGUUAUUCCCACCAUGCUUAGUUUGUGAAGGGGUUCAAGAAUAGCCUCACAAUGAUAUGAUAUCGGCUAUCCUCGUUGCCUACACUCACCUCAUCAUAUGUAUAUGGAUUCCUCCUGGAUGUAAGCACAUGCUUUGUACUCCCCCAUGAUAGGGUGAAGCCGGUGCAUGAGUCACAAACGCUUGGAGCCCACCACGGUGGAAGGCCUACGAAGAGAUGUUCAAAACAUCUCUCGCUUAUCAACUUAAUAUUUGUUUUGAGGGAGUUGUUUUGGGCUACAUCAAAACAUUUUAAUCACAUUAAAAGAACUUGGGCCUAUCACAACUAUUGGUCCAAGUCAAUAUGAAUUAGUAGCAUAUAAUACUCCCACUGUUUCGUUGAAACAAGCGAGACUAUAUGGAACUACUAACGAAUGCAUUGCAUCCUCAUAUGGACUAUAUAGUCAUAUUAGGUUUUAGGAUGAUUAUGAACCGAUUGAUUUGAUCCAACACGAGCCUUGUGUUGGACCUUGGGUUUAAGGUAGAUAGUUGUUGAUUUUAGUUACGCGUUUAAUCUAAUUAAACCGUUAUUUCCUAUUGGGCGUUGGACCCAACUAUUCCAUUUUGCAUACAUAUAAACAAAAAGGAAUACAUGAAAUAAUAAUAAGGGCUUAUGCCCUUUUACAACAUAAAUCAAAUGAUGGACUUAUGUCCAUUUACAACAAAUUGAAUUAAUCAAAUUACAUUCAAAUCUACACUACUAAAACCCAAACAUUCAUAAUGUAUAUCGGCCAAUCACAUAGCUCAAUUAUCGUGGCCUUUGGUCCAUAAUCACCCUUUUCUUAAUCAAUCAUAUUAACUAAGAAAACAACUUUAAACAAUUGGUUUUUGGAUCCAUAGAAUUGAUUUAAAUGGAACUAAAUAGAAUGAAAAUCCAAUUCUCAUUAAAGAGACAAAACAAUUUUUGUUCUCAUUUUAUUUGGGCCAAAAGGAAACUAUGACCACAACAUUUGGGCCAUAAUGCAAAUACAAAAACUUUUGGGGUCACUUUGAAAAAACACGAAAGUCCACAACUUCAUGUAAUUUCAACUAGAACCCAAAAUUUCAUUAAUGUAAAAACGUCAUUAAAGGAUCAAAACAAUUUGUCCUUUAGCGUUUUAGGGCCUUAACGUAAAAACGUAAACUUUUGGGCCAAAGUGCAAAUACACAAAAGUAUCAAAACUUUAUGUAAUUGCAUAAAAGACCCCAAAAGUACCCCCACUAGGGGGUGGCCGGUUUUUAGAGGUGUGUGAACAAGUGUGAAAGGGUUUUAGUGCAUGCAUGUGCAAUAUGCAAGUUGAUUUUGGUGGGUGAUGUGAAAUUGAUGGUUUGUAAGAAAAUGUUUUGUAAAACAUUUAUGAGUUUUGACAAACAUUAAAUCCAAUUUUAAUGCUUCACCAAUAUCCAUCACCCAUCAAAAUUAAACCAAAACUUUAUGAAAAACAUAAAACUUUUGAAUCAAAACUUCAAACCUUUUUGUUCUUGGCAAGAACUUCAAGAACAUUUGAAGAACACCAUGAAAACUCAUAAUAGCCCCAUGGAUGUUUUCAUUCACCAAAACUCAAUUUUUCACCUCUCAAAAGAGGGCUAAUAUCCUAGGGUACUUAGGG